GACGAACGCUGGCGGCGUGCCUAAUACAUGCAAGUUGAGCGCUGAAGGUUGGUACUUGUACCAACUGGAUGAGCAGCGAACGGGUGAGUAACGCGUGGGGAAUCUGCCUUUGAGCGGGGGACAACAUUUGGAAACGAAUGCUAAUACCGCAUAAAAACUUUAAACACAAGUUUUAAGUUUGAAAGAUGCAAUUGCAUCACUCAAAGAUGAUCCCGCGUUGUAUUAGCUAGUUGGUGAGGUAAAGGCUCACCAAGGCGAUGAUACAUAGCCGACCUGAGAGGGUGAUCGGCCACAUUGGGACUGAGACACGGCCCAAACUCCUACGGGAGGCAGCAGUAGGGAAUCUUCGGCAAUGGACGAAAGUCUGACCGAGCAACGCCGCGUGAGUGAAGAAGGUUUUCGGAUCGUAAAACUCUGUUGGUAGAGAAGAACGUUGGUGAGAGUGGAAAGCUCAUCAAGUGACGGUAACUACCCAGAAAGGGUCGGCUAACUACGUG
This 497-nucleotide ribosomal RNA is filed under the name uncultured bacterium. Its description in RNAcentral is "partial 16S ribosomal RNA". It matches the Rfam family "Bacterial small subunit ribosomal RNA", at positions 28 to 507 of the family's 1533-position model. The record is from RNAcentral.